Molecule: non-coding RNA, 184 nt
Filed under: Deltaproteobacteria bacterium
Lineage: Bacteria; Pseudomonadati; Myxococcota; Myxococcia
Description: 6S RNA
Rfam family: 6S / SsrS RNA
About the family: E. coli 6S RNA was the first non coding RNA to be sequenced, but its function was unknown until recently. It consists of 184 nucleotides that fold into an extended hairpin structure with a large single-stranded internal bulge.
Source: RNAcentral
UGUUACCUGCGGUGAUUGUAAUAAGGCUUCAGUCUCUUGACCUUAAUUUAUAUUGCUAGGGGGUGGAUGUGAAAUGGUGUGCACGCCAUGUAUUUUGGAAGCCUAAGUUUCACACUUGUCUGCUUUCCACUUGAACAUACCCGUUCAAGAGCAUAUUGCCACAUACAUCAGUUGCGGGGCAACC